Non-coding RNA from Oryzias latipes (Japanese medaka), 215 nucleotides. NCBI's taxonomy places the organism in Eukaryota, Metazoa, Chordata, Actinopteri, Beloniformes, Adrianichthyidae. The record is from RefSeq and is a predicted model, not a curated record.
GCAGCGCACCUUUGGGAUCUGGGCCAGCAGCUGGCAGUCCUCCACUGGGGGGGGAAAACAACACAUCAUGACUCCCAAACGCAUGCUUCUGCGUGCUCAUGAGCAUGUACAGAACGGGAGGCCAGACGGUUAGAACUCUGGAUGGGAAUCAACAGCAGAACUACCGAUGACCCCCCCCCUUCCAUUGAGGUGUUCUCCCUACCAUGACAAAGGUG